UGAGGGGCCGGUGGGGGCCGUGCCAAGAUGGCGGCCGGGUGGGGGACGGGGACCGGAGUCGAGCGGCACCGGAGCGGCGCGGCUGGGGUCCCGCGCACCUCGCCCUCUCCUUCUCAUCCCUGGAGGAGGCGGGCAGCUCCGGCAUCCUCCGCCUUAACGGGAUGCAGCUGCGCGACCACCCCAGUAGCGACAGCGCGGCAGCAGAUGGAUGCUCAUGGAGAAGGGAAGCUGCCAGGGAUGAGAAGAUCACUGUUGAAGCAGGGAAGACUGCAAACAUGACAUGCUCUUUCAUGCUUGAAGCUGGA
Molecule: long non-coding RNA, 305 nt
Organism: Onychostruthus taczanowskii (white-rumped snowfinch)
Lineage: Eukaryota; Metazoa; Chordata; Aves; Passeriformes; Passeridae
Exons: 2
Source: RefSeq, a predicted model, not a curated record